AUUACAGAGACUUUGCCAGCACACUGCCCUCUAAUUAUCUAGCUGCAGAUGUUGCCUGUGCCACAGAGAUCUUUGUGCGGAGGAGCUCUGAAGAUUUCCUGGGAGGCUGCUAUGCAACAAUGAUCAUGCAUGGACUCCUUCAAGGGACAGGUUUUGGGGAAGCACACAAGGAGACAAUAACAGAUCAUCACACAGAAUUUGUCUUGAGAAGGUCCUAACUGCUGCUGGCUUGCAGGAGCAGGUAACUCAGGCAAGGACAGAGAUGAGGUCAUGGAGCUAUGGUCUACGACAAUGAGGAAGCCUCAGACGAAUGUGCCAUGUGAGGUGGAAUGAAUUCAGCCGUGAGAUGUCCUCUGCAGUGGCGGGGGAAAGAGGCAGAC
Long non-coding RNA from Gallus gallus (chicken), 380 nucleotides. NCBI's taxonomy places the organism in Eukaryota, Metazoa, Chordata, Aves, Galliformes, Phasianidae. The record is from Ensembl.